UGCCUGACUGUCGCCUGUCUUUCUGUCUCUCCCUCCUUCUGUGUGUGUGUGUGUGUCUGCCUGUCUGCCGCCUAUCUGUCUGUCUCUCCAUUUUCUCUCUCUCUCUCUCCCUCCUUCCCUCCCCCCCCUCUGUUUCUGUAUUGGUCUCUGUCUGUCUCUCCCUCCUUUUCUCUGUGGUUGUUUGUCUGUGAGUCUUUGUCUGUCUGUUUCUCUCUCUCUCUCUCUCUCUCUCUCUGUUUCUGUCUCUCCUUCCUUCUCUGUGUGUGUUUCAUGUUAGCAACUUUUCUGUAUAAGCAUUUAUUUCCUGUUAUAAGAAAAGACCCUUCUUUCACAGUGUAAUUCAAAGGAAUGUCAAGGAAGCCAGGAUGAGCAGAUAAGAAAACAGAAGCCACGAGCACUGUCCAUUUCUGGCCUGUGGGAAAACUAAACUAAAUGCUGGAAGAAAGGAGGGGGAGUUAUGGAGAAGCCAUGUAGACCUGCUGAAGACAGAUUCUGGAACUUUACCUGGGAAAGGUUUAAUGGAGUUUAUUGUUAAAGAAAAUGAAGAGAUCACUUUCUUCCCAAAGUCGAAAUAAUUUGAAAUAAACAUGCUAGGUUAUUUCUGCGCUUGCUUCUGAAGAAUUUGUCAGCUGAAAAUAGUUUAGCGUUUUCCUUUUAUGAAAGACGUCAUCUAUUUGCACAUAUUUCCAGCAGGUCGUGCUGAUCAAGUGGCCCUUGGCAGGACUAUUUGGUAUUUCCUUGUGAGGAUUCUGUUUCUUUUGUUGCCCUUUUAGCUUCUGGUCAUGGUCAGAGGAAACUGACAGAAAUAUCAUGAACUCAGCUCUGCCACCUCUUCUCAGAUACCCUCUCACCAAGACCACACAUGCACUUUGGAGAAAGUACUAUAGAAAAACAUUGGAACUGAAAUAAAGAUGGUUACUUUCUUUGUGGGAGUGUUUUCGAAGUGGUAUCUGUUCUGGACGAUAGCAAUUUUAGUAACAGCAAUUUAACGGCUCUUUUUGUAAACCGAUGUGAAUAACCGAACACUUUCUAAA
Molecule: long non-coding RNA, 1034 nt
Organism: Alexandromys fortis (reed vole)
Lineage: Eukaryota; Metazoa; Chordata; Mammalia; Rodentia; Cricetidae
Exons: 3
Source: RefSeq, a predicted model, not a curated record